GACGAACGCUGGCGGCGUGCUUAACACAUGCAAGUCGAACGGAGUGGCGAACGGGUGAGUAACACGUGGGUGAUCUGCCUUGCACUCUGGGAUAAGCUUGGGAAACUGGGUCUAAUACCGGAUAGUGCAAGGUGAGCUCGCGGCCUAUCAGCUUGUUGGUGGGGUAAUGGCCUACCAAGGCGUCGAGGGGUAGCCGGCCUGAGAGGGUGUACGGCGGCAUUGGGACUGAGGUGCGGCCCAGACUGCUACUGUGGCCAGAUGUGGGGAAUAUUGCACAAUGGGCGGAAGCCUGAUGAAGCGACGCCGCGUGUGGGAUGACGGCCUUCGUGUUGUAAAAUCCUUGCGACAGGGACGCGGUACCUGUAUAAGAAGCACCGGCUAACUACGUGCCAGCAGCCGCGGUAAUUC
This 408-nucleotide ribosomal RNA is filed under the name uncultured bacterium. RNAcentral's name for it is "partial 16S ribosomal RNA". It matches the Rfam family "Bacterial small subunit ribosomal RNA", at positions 28 to 526 of the family's 1533-position model. The record is from RNAcentral.